AUGGGCUGCAUUGAGGGGACCAGGUCUCCCGUGUGACUUGGACCCAACGGGUCCCAGUUAGUCUAGUAACAUUUAA
Amblyraja radiata (thorny skate) is the source of this 76-nucleotide long non-coding RNA. RefSeq lists it as uncharacterized. Lineage: Eukaryota; Metazoa; Chordata; Chondrichthyes; Rajiformes; Rajidae. The transcript is spliced from 3 exons. The record is from RefSeq and is a predicted model, not a curated record.